RNAcentral lists this long non-coding RNA (177 nucleotides) under Numida meleagris (helmeted guineafowl). RNAcentral's name for it is "lncRNA (ENSNMEG00000004060.1)". Lineage: Eukaryota; Metazoa; Chordata; Aves; Galliformes; Numididae. The record is from RNAcentral.
UUGUGCAAUUGUCCUGACAGGAGGCUGUGCAGAUGCAGCACCUGCUUUUUUGCUCCAGAAAAUUUUCAAAAGAAGACACGGUCGCCCUUUGGCUCCUCCACAGAGGCCAUCUCCUUGCAUGCAGCCUGCUCCGGGGCGCAUCAUCUCCUGGAGGCGUAUGCUGAAACAACACAAAGU